This 474-nucleotide ribosomal RNA is filed under the name uncultured bacterium. RNAcentral's name for it is "SSU rRNA". It matches the Rfam family "Bacterial small subunit ribosomal RNA", at positions 26 to 518 of the family's 1533-position model. The record is from RNAcentral.
AGGACGAACGCUGGCGGCAUGCCUAACACAUGCAAGUCGAACGCUCUUGGGGCUUCGGUCUCAGGGGAGUGGCGCACGGGUGAGUAGCGCGUGGGAACCUGCCCUGUUGUGGGGGAUAACCGAGGGAAACUUCGGCUAAUACCGCAUAAGCCGGUUGUCUUGAAGGAGAUGGCCGGGAAAGAUUUAUCGCGACAGGAGGGGCCCGCGUCGGAUUAGCUAGUUGGUGGGGUAACGGCCCACCAAGGCGGUGAUCCGUAGCUGGUCUGAGAGGAUGAUCAGCCACACUGGGACUGAGACACGGCCCAGACUCCUACGGGAGGCGAGCAGUGGGGAAUAUUGGACAAUGGGCGCAAGCCUGAUCCAGCAAUGCCGCGUGAGUGAUGAAGGCCUUAGGGUUGUAAAGCUCUUUCGCCCGCGACGAUGAUGACGGUAGCGGGAGAAGAAGCCCCGGCUAACUUCGUGCCAGCGAGCCGC